GACGAACGCUGGCGGCGUGCUUAACACAUGCAAGUCGAACGGAAAGGCCCUGCUUUUGUGGGGUGCUCGAGUGGCGAACGGGUGAGUAACACGUGAGUAACCGGCCCUUGACUUUCGGAUAACUUCAGUUAACUGGUGCUAAUACCGGAUAGGAGCUCCUGCUGCAUGUUGGGGGUUGGAAAGUUUCGGCGGUUGGGGCUGUACUCUCGUCUUAUCAGUUUCUUGGUGGGGUAGUGGCUUACCAAGGCUUUGACGGGUAGCCGGCCUGAGAGGGUGACCGGCCACAUAGGGACUGAGAUACGGCCCGGACUCGUAGGGGAGGCAGCAGUGGGGAAUAUUGCAGAAUGGGCGGAAGACUGAGGCAGCAAGGCCGCGUGCGGGAUGACGGCAUUCGGGUUGUAACCCGAUUAAGCCUGUGACGCAGCGUGAGUGACGGUAAUGGGUAAAGAAGCACCGGCUAACUACGUG
This 468-nucleotide ribosomal RNA is filed under the name uncultured bacterium. Its description in RNAcentral is "partial 16S ribosomal RNA". It matches the Rfam family "Bacterial small subunit ribosomal RNA", at positions 28 to 507 of the family's 1533-position model. The record is from RNAcentral.